This 500-nucleotide ribosomal RNA is filed under the name uncultured bacterium. RNAcentral's name for it is "partial 16S ribosomal RNA". It matches the Rfam family "Bacterial small subunit ribosomal RNA", at positions 30 to 523 of the family's 1533-position model. The record is from RNAcentral.
AUUGAACGCUGGCGGCAUGCCUUACACAUGCAAGUCGAACGGCAGCACGGGAGCAAUCCUGGUGGCGAGUGGCGAACGGGUGAGUAAAGUAUCGGAACGUGCCCAGUCGUGGGGGAUAACGUAGCGAAAGUUACGCUAAUACCGCAUACGAUCUAUGGAUGAAAGCGGGGGAUCGCAAGACCUCGCGCGAUUGGAGCGGCCGAUAUCGGAUUAGGUAGUUGGUGGGGUAAAGGCUCACCAAGCCGACGAUCUGUAGCUGGUCUGAGAGGACGACCAGCCACACUGGGACUGAGACACGGCCCAGACUCCUACGGGAGGCAGCAGUGGGGAAUGUUGGACAAUGGGAGAAAGCCUGAUCCAGCCAUGCCGCGUGCAGGAUGAAGGCCUUCGGGUUGUAAACUGCUUUUGUACGGAACGAAAAGGUUUGGCCUAAUAAGCUGAGCUCAUGACGGUACCGUAAGAAUAAGCACCGGCUAACUACGUGCCAGCAGCCGCGGUAA